This 360-nucleotide unclassified non-coding RNA is filed under the name Hevea brasiliensis (rubber tree). Lineage: Eukaryota; Viridiplantae; Streptophyta; Magnoliopsida; Malpighiales; Euphorbiaceae. The record is from RNAcentral.
UGAACAGCCUAGGCAGAUUGUGAAGGUUGUUCAUCCAGAUAGGAAAGCUCCUGUUAAUCGAAAUGAAUCUUUAAAUGCCCUACCUUAUGGCCAGGAUAUAGAAGAUGAAGAAAGUGAAGAUGAAUGUGAUGAUUGUACUGAUUCUGGCAGUAUAGCAACCAAAGGCUGUGGUAUGCUUCCUCGGUUAUGCGUAAGGAAUUCUUUGAGCCUCUUGAAUCCUGUUCCUGUGAUCAAAGUUAGGGCCCAAGCUUCGAUGUCUUCCACCCGUGACGAUAUUAAAAAACUGAGUAAAGCAGCUUAUGCCAGGUCUCAGAGUCCAUCAGUAAAGAAGCCUGCCAAGGAUGCUGUUUAUAAACAAAA